Molecule: long non-coding RNA, 218 nt
Filed under: Carica papaya (papaya)
Lineage: Eukaryota; Viridiplantae; Streptophyta; Magnoliopsida; Brassicales; Caricaceae
Description: long non-coding RNA (CPAP_LNC016418)
Source: RNAcentral
GGAAUUUACGGGCAUACUCCGACACUGUCAUGUUUCCCUGAACCAAUUGAGCAAACUCCAUUUUCUUUAGGUGUCGGAUGUGUUUAGGGAGAUACUCCGCGUGGAAGGCCGCUAAGAACUGCUCCCAAGUAGCUGGUGUAGGCAGGGUGGUCCGCUUGAGCUCCCACCAGCGUACUGCUUCCCCUACCAGCAUGUAGGAGGCAAUGGCAGCCCUCUGC